UUUGAGGAGAGGUUGGAGGACAUGUGACUGUCACUCCUCCACCGUGUUGUGGGAGUGACAGUCACAUGUCCUCCAACCUCACUUCAGG
Molecule: microRNA precursor, 88 nt
Filed under: Xyrichtys novacula (pearly razorfish)
Lineage: Eukaryota; Metazoa; Chordata; Actinopteri; Labriformes; Labridae
Source: RNAcentral